ACGAGCCCCAGCUUAAAACUCAAAGGACUUGACGGUGCCCUAACCAACUAGAGGAGCCUGUUCUAUAAUCGAUAAUCCACGAUCCACCUAACCAUUUCUUGCUUUAUCAGCCUGUAUACCUCCGUCGUAAGCUAACCAUUUGAAUGCAAAUAGUAUGCUCAAAGGCCUCCGCCAAAACGUCAGGUCAAGGUGCAGCUCACGAAAUGGAAGAAAUGGGCUACAAUCUCUAAACUAGAACAAACGAAAUAUCUAAUGAAACACAAUAUGAAGGAGGAUUUAGCAGUAAAUAAGGAACAACUAGCCUUAUUAAAUUCGGCCAUAGGGUGUGUACACACC
RNAcentral lists this ribosomal RNA (336 nucleotides) under Raorchestes chotta (smaoo bush frog). RNAcentral's name for it is "partial 12S ribosomal RNA". It matches the Rfam family "Bacterial small subunit ribosomal RNA", at positions 882 to 1391 of the family's 1533-position model. The record is from RNAcentral. Lineage: Eukaryota; Metazoa; Chordata; Amphibia; Anura; Rhacophoridae.